RNAcentral lists this transfer RNA (69 nucleotides) under Ovis aries (sheep). It matches the Rfam family "tRNA". Rfam says of the family: Transfer RNA (tRNA) molecules are approximately 80 nucleotides in length. Their secondary structure includes four short double-helical elements and three loops (D, anti-codon, and T loops). Further hydrogen bonds mediate the characteristic L-shaped molecular structure. tRNAs have two regions of fundamental functional importance: the anti-codon, which is responsible for specific mRNA codon recognition, and the 3' end, to which the tRNAs corresponding amino acid is attached (by aminoacyl-tRNA synthetases). tRNAs cope with the degeneracy of the genetic code in two manners: having more than one tRNA (with a specific anti-codon) for a particular amino acid; and 'wobble' base-pairing, i.e. permitting non-standard base-pairing at the 3rd anti-codon position. Lineage: Eukaryota; Metazoa; Chordata; Mammalia; Artiodactyla; Bovidae. RNAcentral also lists the same sequence under 1 other name. The record is from Rfam by way of RNAcentral.
CCUGCUAGCUCAGAUGGUAGAGAAUCUGCCUGCAAUGCAGAAGACCAGGGUUUGAUCCCUGGGUCAGGA